Molecule: long non-coding RNA, 5062 nt
Organism: Mobula hypostoma (lesser devil ray)
Lineage: Eukaryota; Metazoa; Chordata; Chondrichthyes; Myliobatiformes; Myliobatidae
Exons: 5
Source: RefSeq, a predicted model, not a curated record
AACAGCAGGGUGCAGUUGGAGAUAACUGUAAUAAACACAGAUUUCUCCAUGCUUUGACCCUUUGCUCGCUGGAAGCACAGAAAUCACACUGAUAUACCAAAAGGCAAGUCACAGAUUUCCUGUGAUCUCAAGGAUGCUUCUGCAAUCCAGCCUCAGAGAAAGAUGUUGGGGGUGAAGAUGUGAGAUAGCAGCCAAUCAGAAUUGCACUGUGAGAGUCACAACCAACUAAUUAUAAGAAUUGCAUCCUCAUUCAUGAACUUUUGUAGCCAGCCUAAUUUUAAUAUGCAGCUGAUCUCCUGUCACUCAACAAAGAUGUGAAAGGAAUUCACCAUCUUGACUUUCAAAGUCAUCUAGCUACUUAGGAGGACGGGUUGCUGAUCUUUCAAAACUGCAGAUUUGUGACAAAAGUUUGUAACUUAUGAAAACAUUACAGAAGAUUAUCCAGGAGAAAAAAAGGCAUGGAAGCAAAUGAAAUGUUUAGGACAGAAGAACUGAACAAUACCAUUGCAACUAGAAUAUAGCUGGAGAGGAAACAUAAAAUAUUACCUUGACAUAUAUUUUCAAAGGCCUAAUUUAAUUUAAUACAGAUGAAUUUCCUUAAAACACAUCACCCUGAGGAAACCUCCCAGGGAGGGAGGAGAAGAUGGCGACACGACGCAGCUUGCAGCGGCCAUUCUGGUGAAUGAUAUCUGUUAUCUGUCAAGUAGGGUGCCGUGCACAAUCCUGAUCUGAUGGAGACAAACGUGAGAGCACGGAGGAACAUCUGGUGAAACUUCUGAAAUGCUGUUUCGCUGCUGUUGCUACUGUGUGAUUCAGAAUCUCCGGAGGGGAAGGCCCCGAGACCUCAGCUUUGCUUGUUGCUCGGCGGCCGGGGCAGGGUCGAAGCGCUCGGCAGAGAUGGUGCUCGGUGCUGGAAACUCGAAGUUUUCGGACUCAGAGUCCGCUGUGGUCAGGUGCUUCCAAUGCAUCGGCAAGUUUGCGGCGCUUGGAGGUUCAUGGCAGGGAGAGUUUCUCCCUUCUACCGUCUGCGUGAGAUGAUGGGCUAUUGGGACUUGAGACUUUUUUUUACCAUGCCCAUGGUCUGCUCUUUAUCAAAUUACGGUAUUGCUUUGCACUGUUGUAACUAUAUGUUAUAAUUAUGUGGUUUUGUCAGUUUUAGUCUUGGUUUGUCCUAUGUUUCUGUGAUAUCUUCCUGGAGGAACAUUGUAUCAUUUUCUAAUGCAUGCAUUUCUAAAUGACAAUAAACGAGGACUGAGUGUCCUCAUAAUCUAAAAAAAAACAAAUCUUGAUUUGCACUUAUAUUCUAAUGUGAAUCCUGGGUCUAAUUCCUGCACCCAUGCUGAACUUGUCAAUUUCAUCAUCUUUGCCUUUAACUUCCACCCUGUCCUUAAAUUCACUUGGUCCAUCUCUGACACCUGCCUCCCCCUUCCCAAUCUCUCUGUCUCCAUCUCUAGAGAUGGACUGUUGACCAACAACUUUAAUAAGCCUACCCAUGGCUAUCUUGACUAUAUCUCUUCCCACCCUGUCACCUAUAAAAAUGCUAUUCCCUUUUCUCAGUUCCUUCAGCUCCGCUGCAUCUGUUCCCAGGAAGAGGAAUUCUUUUCCAGGACAUCAGAGAUGUCCUCCUUCUUCAAAGAAUGGGGUUUCUCAUUCUCCACCAUUGAUGCUGCCCUCACCUGCAUCUCCUCCAUUUGCUGGACCUCCAUGUUCACCGCAAUUUCCCGCCGCCUUAACUGUGGUAAAGUUCCUUUGGUCCUUACCUACCUCUCCAUGAGCCUUCACAUCUAACACAUUAUUCUCCUCAACUUCUGCCAUCUCUAAAGGGAUCCCACCAUCAAAAACACCGAACACAUCUUUACAUCCCCCACACUCUCCAAUUUCUGCAGGGAUUGUUUCCUCCGUGAUUCCUUUGUCCAUUCAUCCCUUCCCACUAAUCUCCCUCCCAGGACUUAUCCCUGCAAGCGGCCAAAGUGCAACAUUUGCCCAUUCAUCCCUUCCAUCACCUCCAUUAGGUCCCCAGGCUGUCCUUACAGGCGAGGCAACACUUCACAAUUAAGUCUGCUGGAGUCAUCUGUUGUGUCAGGUGCUCCUGAUGUGGCCUUCUCUAUAUUGGUGAGACCGACUGUAAAUUGGGGGAUUGCUUCAUUGAGCACCUCCGCUCCAUCCAGUGGACCUUCCCAGUGGCCAAAUAUUUUAAUUCCCAUUCCGACAUGUCGGUCCAUGGCCUCCUCUAGUGCCACAAUCAGGGUGGAGGAGCAACACCCUAUAUUCCGUCUGGGUAGCCUCCAACCUGAUGGAAUAAUUAUUGAUAUCGCUUUCCAGUUAAAAAAAAAUUCCACCCCCUCCCCUCUUCGAUUCUCCACUAUGGCUUCUUACCUCUUCUCACCUGCCUAUCACCUCCCCCAGUGCCUCUCCUCCUUCCCUUUCUCCUGUGGUCUACCCUCCUCUUCUAUCAGAUUCCUUCCUCUCCAGACCUUCAUCUUUGCUACCCCCCUGCCUUCACCUAUCACCUUCUAGCUAUCCUCCUCCCCCUCCCUCCACCUCUUUUUAUCCUGGCAUCUUCCUCCUUCAUUUCCAGUUUUAAAGAAAGCUCUCAGCCUGAAAUGUCAGCUGUUUAUUCAUUUCCAUGAAUGCGGCCUGACCUGCUGAGUUCUUCCAGCAUUUUGUGUGUGUUACUGUAGAUUAACUUAGGUUUUAUUUAUCUUUAUUUGUCACAUGUAGAUCAAAAUGUCUUGCACUUGCUGCCAGCUCUUUAAAAAUGGGAGGUUUUCACACUAUACUCAUCCUUACUCACCCCUUCCUAUCACCGUUCUCUGUGCCUCUCCAGACUCCCAACUUUCUGCCAGUGAAAAUGGGUUAUGUCACUCAGUACCAGAACAUGAUAUUAUGCAAUUUUUGUAGGGGUAGUGGUACAUGAUUUUUGAUUGAAAGACAGACAGAUGAAAAGUACCAUCAAAAAUGCACUUUUUAGAAUUACAAACUUUUGCCUUGAAUGUUCCCCCCUAUUAUUGAUGUAGAAGUGAAACCUUGUGUUUAGAAUCUAAUGCUUAUUAUGAAUUAUUUUUGGGUGGCAAACAAAGAUAAAAGCAGGAAUGUUUUGGUUAUCCAGUGGUUAAAACUGAAAAAUUAAAGGACCGUAACUAAAUGAUGAUUUCUGUUUACUUACAUGACUGCAAGUUAGACUUCACUGUACUUUACCUAUUUUCUGAACAAAGUUUAAAUAAAAGAUUUAUAUUUUGUGUUUUUAAACUGUUAUUAGUGUAAUCAUUUUUUUUCAGUGAGUGUACAAUAAUGGAUAGAUUGCCAGUGGCAGUUUCCAGUCCUUGUUUCCAGUAGAAGACACUAAAUGGAGGCUUCAACAAAUUGUACUAAAGCUUGGAGUAAUUUUACAGUUGAUUAUGAUGUUGACUCCCCAAAAAAGGCAGAGGCUGGGUUCACUGCAGAAUUCCUCAGACUGACCUACAAAACCAGUGAAUUCAAUUUUCUUGACUAUUGAAUGAUUGGGUCUGAGAGGUCCCCAGCCAGGGGACAGAAUAGCUGGUUAGUUACAACUUUUCAUCGAGCAAGUACUAUGCCACAAGGAUUAAGAGGUGAUUUACUAUAUUCAAAGAAACUUCAAACAACAUCAUCUCGCAAGGACUAAGGACACUGGCAUCUCCAACUGUGCUAUGGGUCAUGGUGCUGUACUUAGAGAGUUUAUCAUACAAAACCCUCUGUUCUAUGAACACCAUCACAGCAGGAAUGGAGGUUAGAGGGCCGGAUGUGGCCUGUGGGCAGAAUGUUGUUCAUUUUAUUUUGAAGGAGAAUCUGUGGUGCAGCAACUAAAACAUAUUAAUUUGUGUUACUUUAAUUGAGCAUACUAACAGCAAUAAAUUGGCAAUUCUAGUGGCUAUUUCCAAUAAAUUUUUAAUAUACGGUAUUUGUUUUUGCACAUUUUAAUAAUAAUCUAUUCAAUAUACAUAAUUGAUUUACUUGUUUAUUUAUUAUGUUUUAUUUAUUUAUUUCCCCCCCUCUCUCUGCUAGAUUAUGUAUUGCAUUGAACUGCUGCUGCUAAGUUAACAAAUUUCAUGUCACAUGCCGGUGAUAAUAAACCUGAUUCUGAUUCUGAUUAAAGUUCAGUAUUAUGUUGAUAUGCCAGCACAUGUAAAGUAACACUUCAAAGAUACAAACUUUAAAUAAACAUGUAGUAGUUAUGAAAUUACCACACACCACUUUUAAAAAAUGGAAAUUACUUUGAUUAGAUUUCUUUUAGUUUACCAUAUGUUCUAUGGAGAUACUAUGUUUAGUCACAAAUAAUUAGGUAGAGGUAGACUCUAAGGGUAACCAAAAUUGCUGGUAAUGAAAGUCAAGACUGUAUGACUUCACUGAAUCAUAGAAUGGAUGAAGCAGAGAAGGAGGGAGAACACAGAACACGAGAUCAUUCAGACCAUCAGGUUUGGGUGGGCUCUUUACCAUUCCUGGCCUCUUCCCCAUAGCUUUACAAAUUAUUGUCCACCAUACAUCAUGCCAUUUAAGGAACAAUAGAACCUGUCUCAUCCACAUCUGAAGGCAAUGCAUUCAGAUUUCAUCCACACAAUGCGAAAAUAAGUUUUUCAUAAUAUCACUUUUAACUCUAUUUUCCUUUAUUUUAUUUUACCUAGUCCUUGAUCCUUCCAUCAUCACAAGUAACAGCCUGUCACGUUCCACCCUGUCCCAUCAUCUUUUUACAUACUUCUCUCAAAUCCCUCCACACUUCUCCAAAAGAAAAUCAUUCCUUGUAACUACAGUCCCUUAUUAUACGGACUACAUUUAAAAUAUCUUUUCUGGACUCAACCUAAUGGUUCACAGUCUUUCCGUAAUAUGGCAACUAGAAUUGAGGCCAGACUUGCAUUUUAGAAGAGUUGAUUUGAAUUUCCCUGCCUUUAUAAGCUAUGUUUUUUCCUUAAAGUUAGAAUCUAGUAUGUUUUACUAACUACUUUCACAACUUUAUACUUUAUUGUUGCCAAACAAUUGAUACUAGAACGUACAAUCACCACAGCGAUAUUUGAUUCUGCGCUUCCCACUCCCUGGAGUACAAAUUGAU